Molecule: non-coding RNA, 372 nt
Organism: Pantherophis guttatus
Lineage: Eukaryota; Metazoa; Chordata; Lepidosauria; Squamata; Colubridae
Source: RefSeq, a predicted model, not a curated record
CCUUGGAGCAGAAACAGCAGGAUAGGUUGUAGUCUUACAUUUUCAGAGUUUUUACCUGCAUAUAGGGAGCAAAAACUGUGAGAGGGAUCUUGGAAUCCUAGUGGACAAGUGUGCUGCAGCUGCCAAAAAAGGAAGCACAGUCCUAGGCUGCAUUAACAGAGGGAUAGAAUCAAGAUCACGUGAAGUGUAAUAUUACUUUAUACUGCCCUGAUUUUGCUGCAUGUAAAUACUAUGAGAAUGAGAAGCAGUAAAACAAAACAAGCAAAGACAGUAUUUCAAGUCAUGGGAGCACAAUAAUUGGAUGUUGAAAUCCUUUUGGGCACUUCUGUAAUAUUUUAUAUUCAUUAAAUUCAAACUCAGGACUGAGAAAAA